This 304-nucleotide long non-coding RNA is filed under the name Vigna radiata. Its description in RNAcentral is "long non-coding RNA (VRAD_LNC009100)". Lineage: Eukaryota; Viridiplantae; Streptophyta; Magnoliopsida; Fabales; Fabaceae. The record is from RNAcentral.
GGGGGAUUCAAAUGAAUUGGCUAGAUUGGUUCCUCUUCUUGUUUGUGUUUUUGUAAAUACAUGUUGUGUAUCUUGUCUCUUAGAGUAGUGUUUUGAAAAGAGAGAAAAGAAAAGAGACAAGAUGAAAAAAAAAAUACAAAAAAAUGAGAAAAAAAAAUUGUGUGAAUAAUGGAGUCAAGAAGAGGAUUGAAUUAGAGGUUUUGGGUGUGAUUUGACUGUGUUUAAACUUGUUCCCCAUUGCUCCUCUAUUCAUUUUGGUUUGUAGCUUCUUAUCCAGAUAUAUCCUCCCUUGUCCUUGGCCCCA